GGAGAGGCCGGGCGAGGCCGUCCAAGGCCGGGGCGGUCCCUCCAGUUUCCGCCUGCUCGGGACCCGCUCAGCCAGCCCUCCUGCCGUCUCCACGUCGUCGUCGUCCUCCUGCACGGGUGCCAUCCCAGGGGCCCGCUGGACUCCGCCCAGGAAUCAGGUUCCCCAGAAGGGUGACUCCAAGGAGACCUCAUGUCAGUCACCUGGGUCCAGGUACAAAUCAUGGGUAACAGAAAAUGACCCAAAACGCAGAUGAUGCCACCCGCCCCCAUCGAGGCACAGGAAGAGGCUGCCAUCCAGAGCUGUGUAAGGAUGUCCAGCUGCGGGGUAGCCAGUGAAAGACAAGUUUACA
Rhinolophus ferrumequinum (greater horseshoe bat) is the source of this 349-nucleotide long non-coding RNA. RefSeq lists it as uncharacterized. NCBI's taxonomy places the organism in Eukaryota, Metazoa, Chordata, Mammalia, Chiroptera, Rhinolophidae. The transcript has 3 exons. The record is from RefSeq and is a predicted model, not a curated record.